RNAcentral lists this ribosomal RNA (427 nucleotides) under uncultured bacterium. Its description in RNAcentral is "partial 16S ribosomal RNA". It matches the Rfam family "Bacterial small subunit ribosomal RNA", at positions 355 to 774 of the family's 1533-position model. The record is from RNAcentral.
UGGGGAAUAUUGGACAAUGGGCGCAAGCCUGAUGCAGCCAUGCCGCGUGUAUGAAGAAGGCCUUCGGGUUGUAAAGUACUUUCAGCGGGGAGGAAGGUGUUGUGGUUAAUAACCACAGCAAUUGACGUUACCCGCAGAAGAAGCACCGGCUAACUCCGUGCCAGCAGCCGCGGUAAUACGGAGGGUGCAAGCGUUAAUCGGAAUUACUGGGUGUAAAGCGCACGCAGGCGGUCUGUCAAGUCGGAUGUGAAAUCCCCGGGCUCAACCUGGGAACUGCAUCCGAAACUGGCAGGCUUGAGUCUUGUAGAGGGGGGUAGAAUUCCAGGUGUAGCGGUGAAAUGCGUAGAGAUCUGGAGGAAUACCGGUGGCGAAGGCGGCCCCCUGGACAAAGACUGACGCUCAGGUGCGAAAGCGUGGGGAGCAAACA